This 309-nucleotide ribosomal RNA is filed under the name uncultured bacterium. RNAcentral describes it as "bacterial SSU rRNA". It matches the Rfam family "Bacterial small subunit ribosomal RNA", at positions 28 to 334 of the family's 1533-position model. The record is from RNAcentral.
GAUGAACGCUAGCGGAGGCUUAACACAUGCAAGUCGAGGGGCAGCAUUGGUACUUGUACCAGAUGGCGACCGGCGCACGGGUGCGUAACGCGUAUGCAACCUACCUUAUACAGGGGGAUAGCCCGGAGAAAUUCGGAUUAAUACCCCAUAAUAUUUUUGUAACACAUGUUAUAAUAAUUAAAGCUUCGGCGGUAUAGGAUGGGCAUGCGUCCCGUUAGUUAGUUGGUGAGGUAACGGCUCACCAAGACUUCGAUUGGGUAGGGGUUCUGAGAGGAUUAUCCCCCACACUGGUACUGAGACACGGACCAG